UUAAGCGACUAAGCGUACACGGUGGAUGCCCUGGCAGUCAGAGGCGAUGAAGGACGUGCUAAUCUGCGAUAAGCGUCGGUAAGGUGAUAUGAACCGUUAUAACCGGCGAUUUCCGAAUGGGGAAACCCAGUGUGUUUCGACACACUAUCAUUAACUGAAUCCAUAGGUUAAUGAGGCGAACCGGGGGAACUGAAACAUCUAAGUACCCCGAGGAAAAGAAAUCAACCGAGAUUCCCCCAGUAGCGGCGAGCGAACGGGGAGGAGCCCAGAGCCUGAAUCAGUGUGUGUGUUAGUGGAAGCGUCUGGAAAGGCGCGCGAUACAGGGUGACAGCCCCGUACACAAAAAUGCACAUGCUGUGAGCUCGAUGAGUAGGGCGGGACACGUGGUAUCCUGUCUGAAUAUGGGGGGACCAUCCUCCAAGGCUAAAUACUCCUGACUGACCGAUAGUGAACCAGUACCGUGAGGGAAAGGCGAAAAGAACCCCGGCGAGGGGAGUGAAAAAGAACCUGAAACCGUGUACGUACAAGCAGUGGGAGCACGCUUAGGCGUGUGACUGCGUACCUUUUGUAUAAUGGGUCAGCGACUUAUAUUCUGUAGCAAGGUUAACCGAAUAGGGGAGCCGAAGGGAAACCGAGUCUUAACUGGGCGUUAAGUUGCAGGGUAUAGACCCGAAACCCGGUGAUCUAGCCAUGGGCAGGUUGAAGGUUGGGUAACACUAACUGGAGGACCGAACCGACUAAUGUUGAAAAAUUAGCGGAUGACUUGUGGCUGGGGGUGAAAGGCCAAUCAAACCGGGAGAUAGCUGGUUCUCCCCGAAAGCUAUUUAGGUAGCGCCUCGUGAAUUCAUCUCCGGGGGUAGAGCACUGUUUCGGCAAGGGGGUCAUCCCGACUUACCAACCCGAUGCAAACUGCGAAUACCGGAGAAUGUUAUCACGGGAGACACACGGCGGGUGCUAACGUCCGUCGUGAAGAGGGAAACAACCCAGACCGCCAGCUAAGGUCCCAAAGUCAUGGUUAAGUGGGAAACGAUGUGGGAAGGCCCAGACAGCCAGGAUGUUGGCUUAGAAGCAGCCAUCAUUUAAAGAAAGCGUAAUAGCUCACUGGUCGAGUCGGCCUGCGCGGAAGAUGUAACGGGGCUAAACCAUGCACCGAAGCUGCGGCAGCGACGCUUAUGCGUUGUUGGGUAGGGGAGCGUUCUGUAAGCCUGUGAAGGUGUGCUGUGAGGCAUGCUGGAGGUAUCAGAAGUGCGAAUGCUGACAUAAGUAACGAUAAAGCGGGUGAAAAGCCCGCUCGCCGGAAGACCAAGGGUUCCUGUCCAACGUUAAUCGGGGCAGGGUGAGUCGACCCCUAAGGCGAGGCCGAAAGGCGUAGUCGAUGGGAAACAGGUUAAUAUUCCUGUACUUGGUGUUACUGCGAAGGGGGGACGGAGAAGGCUAUGUUGGCCGGGCGACGGUUGUCCCGGUUUAAGCGUGUAGGCUGGUUUUCCAGGCAAAUCCGGAAAAUCAAGGCUGAGGCGUGAUGACGAGGCACUACGGUGCUGAAGCAACAAAUGCCCUGCUUCCAGGAAAAGCCUCUAAGCAUCAGGUAACAUCAAAUCGUACCCCAAACCGACACAGGUGGUCAGGUAGAGAAUACCAAGGCGCUUGAGAGAACUCGGGUGAAGGAACUAGGCAAAAUGGUGCCGUAACUUCGGGAGAAGGCACGCUGAUAUGUAGGUGAAGUCCCUCGCGGAUGGAGCUGAAAUCAGUCGAAGAUACCAGCUGGCUGCAACUGUUUAUUAAAAACACAGCACUGUGCAAACACGAAAGUGGACGUAUACGGUGUGACGCCUGCCCGGUGCCGGAAGGUUAAUUGAUGGGGUCAGCGCAAGCGAAGCUCUUGAUCGAAGCCCCGGUAAACGGCGGCCGUAACUAUAACGGUCCUAAGGUAGCGAAAUUCCUUGUCGGGUAAGUUCCGACCUGCACGAAUGGCGUAAUGAUGGCCAGGCUGUCUCCACCCGAGACUCAGUGAAAUUGAACUCGCUGUGAAGAUGCAGUGUACCCGCGGCAAGACGGAAAGACCCCGUGAACCUUUACUAUAGCUUGACACUGAACAUUGAGCCUUGAUGUGUAGGAUAGGUGGGAGGCUUAGAAGUGUGGACGCCAGUCUGCAUGGAGCCGACCUUGAAAUACCACCCUUUAAUGUUUGAUGUUCUAACGUUGACCCGUAAUCCGGGUUGCGGACAGUGUCUGGUGGGUAGUUUGACUGGGGCGGUCUCCUCCUAAAGAGUAACGGAGGAGCACGAAGGUUGGCUAAUCCUGGUCGGACAUCAGGAGGUUAGUGCAAUGGCAUAAGCCAGCUUGACUGCGAGCGUGACGGCGCGAGCAGGUGCGAAAGCAGGUCAUAGUGAUCCGGUGGUUCUGAAUGGAAGGGCCAUCGCUCAACGGAUAAAAGGUACUCCGGGGAUAACAGGCUGAUACCGCCCAAGAGUUCAUAUCGACGGCGGUGUUUGGCACCUCGAUGUCGGCUCAUCACAUCCUGGGGCUGAAGUAGGUCCCAAGGGUAUGGCUGUUCGCCAUUUAAAGUGGUACGCGAGCUGGGUUUAGAACGUCGUGAGACAGUUCGGUCCCUAUCUGCCGUGGGCGCUGGAGAACUGAGGGGGGCUGCUCCUAGUACGAGAGGACCGGAGUGGACGCAUCACUGGUGUUCGGGUUGUCAUGCCAAUGGCACUGCCCGGUAGCUAAAUGCGGAAGAGAUAAGUGCUGAAAGCAUCUAAGCACGAAACUUGCCCCGAGAUGAGUUCUCCCUGACUCCUUGAGAGUCCUGAAGGAACGUUGAAGACGACGACGUUGAUAGGCCGGGUGUGUAAGCGCAGCGAUGCGUUGAGCUAACCGGUACUAAUGAACCGUGAGGCUUAACCUU
Molecule: ribosomal RNA, 2902 nt
Filed under: Escherichia coli
Lineage: Bacteria; Pseudomonadati; Pseudomonadota; Gammaproteobacteria; Enterobacterales; Enterobacteriaceae
Also listed under: 2 other names
Description: bacterial LSU rRNA
Rfam family: Bacterial large subunit ribosomal RNA
Source: RNAcentral